GGAGUUAUUGUUUGUGUGUAGGGAUGUGUGGAUAAAAGGGAGCUGAUUUCUAGAGGUGAGAUGGCCCUGUGGUUAACGGUUGGAGGCUGCUGUUGACAAGGCCUGUUGCUGUGGCAGUUUUGCUCCGGAAGUGGCCAUUUUCUGGGCAGGGCUCCACCAGAGCACCAUCUGUCUGUGCCUUUUACUUCCUGUCAAGAGGCAGCAGGCUUCGUGAGCUGGGGAAGUGCCAGAAGCAGCCUUCGAAUUAGACAGACCUGGACCCAAACCCUUUCUCUUCCCCCCACCCAUUUUGGCAUCUUGGCACGAGACUGUCCCCAUUUCUGGAAAGGGUGUUCACAAGAACAGUCUGGCUGGGUUGUUGGGAUGACCGAGUGUGAUCAUGCGUCUCUAUGGCUGGCCAUGGUGUUUAUUCGAUGGCAGGUAUUACCAGGAUGGAGCGAGUCCCAGUAGGAAGGGCCUUUAGGAUGUCAUCUGGUUCCACCCAACAGGGAUGGGAACUGUAAUUCCCCACUCUCCCUGUGGAGAAUCAGGGCGGGCUCCGGAUGGAUGGCCAAAGGCUGCACAGAGGCGCUCCUGUGAAGAGGAAGCCUCAGGAGGGAGUGAGAGCAGAAGGGAGCCCACCUGUGGUUGUCUCAGCAACAGCAGAAGAACCUGGGCCGCUGGGAGUGGAGUUGGAGAGAAACAGGUUGAUUUGGAAGUUCUUCUGCAGGUAGAACGGAAAGGCGAAUUCUGCAAGAUGCUCUGGGGUCCACUGAGCUCAGCUGCUGAGGCUCAGCUCUUUCUGUGGCUUCUUCUUGAGCAGCCUGUUGACCAAGAUGUGGCCCAUGCCACUCCCUAUAUUCGGAGUCCAUUUUCUGAUGCCCUCUCUCAGCUCUUCGCCUGCACUCAUCUGUGACUGCCUGGUACUGCUAGGAAGCCUCUGUUUGUGUCUCAUCUCUCCAGGUGGACUGGAGCUCCUGGGGGUCCUUUCCUUUGUGGGGGUUCUCAAUAUCAGAAUGGAGUCGCUUAUGUCAAACCCUAACAAAAUGGAGGUGGAGGUCACGAAUUGGAGCCUAUAUGCGUGCCUGUAACAGGACUUGUCACAAGGAAUCCCUGCACAUAUGUGUAUGAUGGGGACUAUGCCAGGAACUCCUCACAUAUGGAGGAUUCGAGAUAGACUGGGAGCUCCAUGAGGUCCGAGACAACCUGAAGACGCCCAGCUCAGCAGAGACUGGCUACGGCAAUCACUCAGUAACUAUUUGUUGAAUUGGACAUAAUAGAAGAGCUGAAGAAUUUUAAACAAGUCACCAUCAGUGCAGUGGAUUCCUCAAAGCAAACCUGGAAAUCUCGGCAUGAGUUGGAUUUAAGGCAGUACAUUUUCAGCUCCUGAAAAUUUGAACAGUUUCUCAAGAGAACAACUUGAAACAGAAAGGCAAGGAUGUAGAUGUGGUUGUAGAAGAUGAUGUCUGCGGCCACCAAACUGUCCACUGUGAAGACAAACCAUGCAUGUUUAGUAGGCAGUGGCUCCUCUUCCCUGUGGGGAGUCCCACUGCUUCCCUGGCCUGGGUGUUCUCUGCCGGUAGAUGUUAUUGACAAAAUAAGCAAAGUCCUCUGAUUCUGAGAAUUAGAGUUAAUGAUAGCUCUAGAUUGCCUCUGCCAUGCUAUUUAAAGUCCUGCUUUAUUGUCUGACAUGAGUUCGGCAUCUAUGAGGACUUGUCCAGUGCAAAGUACAAUCUCCACUGAAAGAUAUCACCAGCACAUCUUGUCACUGUGCUGUAGCAAGCUGGGCAGUACAAUGAUGUUGGCAGGAUCCUGUUUAGGUGGAGGAUGGCCACCUGGGCAUCAAGAAUCUUCUACCCUGAUUCCACAUUGACUCCCCAAAGUGGGCUUCAGACAGCUCUUUACUUACGUCUUCUGAUUAAAGCAGCAGACAGGGUCCCAGCUAGAGAAAAGUUCUGGGAGCAGGAGAGGUGUUGGUGGCUUUAAAACCAGGGGUGAAGAUUGAAUUAGGAGGUUAGGCAGGAGUAGGAUCAAAGACUUAGAAAAUGCUUGUUUCCUCCUAUUAUUCUUAUGAGAGCUGAUACGGGGCUUUCAGUUUUGGGGGAGAGCCUUGGAAGAGAAUGAGGGAAUUUAAUCAACUAGCGGGACCUUUCCAACUUACAUUUCCCAGUGUUUGUUGGAUGAUACGUUUGCCUAAUAAGUUAAAGCUUCCAAAAAUAGAAAGGAAAGCUUGGUGACACUAAGCUCUGGCAUGCUGUCAUCUUCUGGCUAGGGGUCUUGUGCUUCUGUUUUUCUAUUUCUGACCAAAGACAUAAAAUGUGUUGUGACCUCUCAGGUAAUGCUGUGGUAUCAUGUCCAAGCAGUAACUAACCAGAGUGGAGUUUUUACAGGUAAAAAAGUAUUGAAUAGCUCAGCAACAGGGAGGACUUAAUGAUAAAUUGCUUUUUCAGAAAAUGACAAGGGGACAGACACUUGCGGUUCUUCCAUUGAGAGCCUUAAGGAAGUUAAGCGAAGCCUCUGCUCACCCCUUCAAGUAACGAUGACCCAUCAGAUCGUGGUCAUAACCAGUAGCAUCUGAGGCACCCCUAAGCUCUCUGGGCCCCAGAUUCCUUGUUAAGUUAAAUGAGGUGACUUCCCAGUUUACCAUUCUAGGGGUUCCUGAGGAGUUAAAAAUGAAGGAGAAAAUGCAACAUGUACCAAGUGAGCAAGAGCUCAAGGCUUAUCUCUGGCACGAAAGUGACCGCUGUCCGUUAGAGAUGUGAUUGCCCUAGAUUUCCUUUAGGAAAUGCAAACAUUGAACUCUGGCCUUCAGGACCCAAGUCCCGGCUUGCAUCUAUUCUAUACACUUUCUGUUAUUUGUUAGGGCUCACAAGGAACAGUUAUUUAUCUUUUAUUUUCUAUUUUUUUUUUAGAGAUGGAGUCUCACUCUGUCUCCCAGGCUGGAGUGCAGUGGUGCCAUCUCAGCUCACUGCAACCUCCACCUCCCGGGUUCAAGCAAUUCUCCUGUCUCAGCCUCCUGAGUAGCUGGGACUACAGGCGUGUGCCAUCAUGCCCGGCUAAUUUUUAGUAUUUUUAGUAGAGGCAGGGUUUCACCAUAUUGGCCAGGCUGGUCUUGAACUCCUGAUCUCAAGUGAUCUACCCUCCUUGGCCUCCCAAACUGCUGGAAUUACAGAUGUGAGCGACCACACCUGGCCCAUUUGUUUUCUUUCAAACCCUUCUGUAAGACCAGUGCUUUAGGUGAACACGUGGACAGAACAAGAUCAUCACUAUUUUGCAAUAUGAAGACCAACUGCGCUGUGACCAGAAAAACAGAGGCAAAAUGUUGAGCUUAAUGAUACCUUUUUAUAAUUUGUAUUUGGUGUUUCUCAAUUUUCCAUUGGAUAGUUUGAGAGAUAAGUACAAGUCAAUGACAUGUUCUCUUUCGUACCCUAUUGUCUAAUCCUGCUAACACACACACACACACACACACACACACUGAUUACCUAAUUUAUCUGUUCCCCGAUUAUUACACUCUCAAUUGCUGCAGAGUCUCAGAAGCAGCAUGGUGUAACAGAAAGAAUAUGAGGCUUAGAAUCCAAAAGCCAGAGUGUGAAUUCCAGCUCCACUGACUUGCUGCGUGACUUGAAGCAAGUCAUUACGUGUCUCUGUUUACUCAUUUUAUGACUUUCCUAUUGCCUCUGUAAUAUAGCACCACAAACGUGUGGACUUAAAACAACAUGCAUUUAUUCUCUUAGCGUUCUGGAGGUCAGGAGUCUGACAUCAAUUUCGUUGGGCUAAAAUCAAGAUGUUGGUAGGACCAAGAUCCCCGUGGAGGCUCUGGGAGAACCCAUUUCCUUGCCUUUGCCAGCUUCUAAUGCUGCAUUCCUUGCAUUCCUUGAUUGUUGACCUCUUCCCCCAUCUUCAAAGCCAGCAGAACAGCACCUUGUUUCAUUGCCUUCUUUACUGUCAAAUCUCCCUCUGCCUUCUUCUUAUAAGAACACUUGUGGUUGCAUUUAGAAGCUGUGAUAAUCCAGAAUAAUAUCUUUAUCUCAAGAUCUUUGACUUGGUCUCUUCUGCAAAGUCUCUUUUGCCACAGAGGGAAAUAUUCACAGGUCCCAGGGGUCAGGCUGUGUACGUCUUUGGGGGACUUUAUUCUGCCUACCACACUCAUCUUUUUUUUUUUUUUUUUUGGAUGGAGUCUUGCUCUGUCACCCAGGCUGGAGUGCAGUGGCAUGAUCUCGGCUCACUGCAACUUCUGCCUCCCCAGUUCAAGCAAUUCUCCUGCCUCAACCUCCCAAGUAGCUGGAAUUACAGGCGCCUGCCACCACGCCCGGCUACUUUUUGUACUUUUAGUAGAGAUGGGGUUUCACUAUGUUGGCCUGGCUGGUCUUGAACUCCUGACCUCAGGUGAUUCCCCCACCUUGGCCUCCCAAAGUGCUGAGAUUACAGACGUGAGCCACCAUGCCCGGCCCCACACUCAUCUAUUAAGUAGAGCUAGGAAUUCCUAUCCUAAGGGACACAAAAAUGAAAAAAGAUAAAAUUUGUGAAGAGGCACAUAAUGAAAGCCCAUACAUGUCACUGAGUUCAGAGGAGGGUGGGUCUGACCUCCCAUUGGCUGGUCUCUGCCUGAUGGACAUCGUGAAGAAGAGAGCCAGGACUAGUGUGGCUGGGGGAUGUUCAGGGGCCAGAGUGGCUUCAGGUGCCAGCAGCCCUGGCCGAAGGAUGACUCCAGGAGCAAGGCUCAGAGCCGAGUGGAAGAAGCUUCAUAAACGCAACUGAGCCAAGCAUGAUGGGAUGUGCCUGUGGUUCCAGCUACUCAGGAGGCAGGUGGGAGGAUGGCUUGAGUCAGAAGUUCGAGGCUGCAGUGAGCUAUGAUCACACUACUGUACUCCAGCCUGGGUGACAGAAUGACACCCUGUCUCUAAAAAGAAAAGGCACCUGGAUGCUCAUGACCGAGAUGGGGUGGGGUGGGUGGGGUGGGACAGCCGCACUUUAUAACUUUGCUUUCAGCAUGAUGUGGAUUAGUGUCUCCCAUGUGGGAAAAUUAUGUUUACCACUUAGAGACCUGAUAGUGCUUGCUUACCCCAUAACGCUGGACGGUGGCAGGCUUAACUCCCCCAUCAAGGGCCUUAAUGUAUUUGGGGCCCUAGUCCUAGCAACAGCAGCAAAUCUCCUUUUUCUUUUCCUCGAGCUGGUUGUUCACCAGGCAGUUGGGAUGUUAAUGGGAAGAGAAGACACACACAAGUCCCUUGUUUUCAAUAAGGCAGUCUGGUCACGUCCUUAGCAGGUUAUUAAUCUUUUUCAAACCCCUCCUCUCCACCAAGUUUUAUGAUCCUGGGAAGGAGAUUCCUACCUAGCAUCCUUAGAGUUAUCGGGGGUUAGGAUCGGUGCAUGCAGUCACUUCCGUGGAAUCAUCAGUAGCCCUCCAGCCUCUGGGGAGAGCUGCCAGUGGUCAGAGAUGUUGGGAAUUACGAGGGAGGAGCUAGGGAGAAGGAACUCACAGUCCCUCAGUCUCUGAAGGUGGCUCCUGGCAGGAGAGGGGGCCAGUCCUAGAUAAGAGCUCUCCCAGGGAAUUCCAAGGGUCCUCCCAAGGUCCAGCCACAAGAUGAGGAAUUACUGUUGGGCUCUUCCUCAGAUGUGCCUGUGAAUUCAUAUCACAGAUGCUUGAUGCAUUUGACAAUUGUUUAAUUGCUUGAGCCCAACUGAUACUCUUUCAGUCACUUUAAGGGAGUGAUUUCAAGUAUGAUCAUUGCCUCAAAUCUGUAUGGCUUUCCUUGCCUUUCAGGUGCUUUAAGAGGGCUUAUGUUCUUUGACUCCCCUAGUAACUCAAAAGGGUGGCUAAGAUGCAACUCUGGAGGUUUCCAAGCUCUCUGCAAAGCCUGCCUUCAGUAGUCUGUGCACCACAAGAAGCAUAACUUUAUUAUCCUCUAGCUGAAUUUACCUCCUGCUUCGAGCCCCUGUUUUCCCAUGUCAUUUUAGGGGUCCAAUGUUUUUCCUGGAGGCAUAUACACACACACACACACACACACACACACACACACACACACACACACACACACAUAUAUACACACACACAUUCCAGGGGCCUCUGAGGUGCCAAGACAUGUGUGGGGUCCAUCUGGUUCACACUGAUGUCCAUGAUCAUUGAGUUCAUUUUUUAUAUCAACUAUGUGACACUUCCUAUAGUUUCCAGUUCCUGGUUAGAAUUUGCAAAGUUGCCGACUAUUUCUUUGAAUAGAGUAGCUAGAUCAUGGGUCUACACCAGUCAUCAAGCAGCGAUUUCCCUGUUGGAAGCUCCAAGCAAAUUGUCAGCUCCAGCAUUCCACACAGCUGUGGGUGCCACACUCCUUUUCCUUUUAAAAGAUGAUGAUCUGCUAGUGGUGAAUGCUCUUGGAGUUUUAUUUGUAGGUUUUUCUUGUUGUCGCAAAUGUCUAUAUUUCAUCUUCCCUCUUGAGGGAUAUUUUCCAUGGGUAGAGGAUCUAGGCUUUUCUUUUGGAUUCCAUUGUGGCUUUAAAAAAAAGUCAGUUGACUGUUUAUUUAUGGCUUCUCUAAAGGUGAUCUCUUUCUUCCUAAGGCUGCUUUAAAAGUUUCCGUUCCCUCCCUCCCUUCCUCCCACCCCAUCCCCCUUCUUCCUUUCCUUCCUCCCUCCCUUCCUCCCUUCUCUUCCUCCCUUUCUCCCUUGUCUUCCUCCUUUUCUCCCAUCCUCCCUUCCUCCCUCUUUCCUUCUUUUUUCCCUUCCUCCCGCCCUCCUUCCUUCUUCCAUCAUUAUAUAUUAAAAUAUUUUCUUUCUUUCUUUUUUUUUUUUGAGAUGGAGUUUCGCUCUUGUUGCCCAGGCUGGAGUGCAACGGUGUGAUCUUGGCUUACUGCAACCUCCACCUCCCUGGUUCAAGCGAUUCACCUGCCUCAGCCUCCCUAGUAGCUGGGAUUACAGGUGCCCGCCACCACACCCAGCUAAUUUUUGUAAUUGUAGUAGAGAUGGGGUUUCACCAUGUGGGCCAGGCUGGUCUUGAACUCCUGAACUCAGGUAAUCCACCCGCCUUGUCCUCCCAAAGUGCUGGAAUUACAGGCAUGAGCCACCACUCCCAGCCUAUUAAAAUAUUUUCUUCUGGGCCUUCCCUCCUUUUACUUCUUUUGAUACCGCCAUCAAAUGCAUGUUAGGUUGACUCACUGUGUACUCUAUUACCCUCUCAUCUGGUUUUUAAUCUUUCUGUCUCCUUAUACUGUAAUCUCAGUGUUUCUUCUGCUUUAAUUUUGGUAUAUGAAUUAUUCAGCUGUGUUCAAAGUGUGGUUAAAGCGACUUAUAUGCUCUUUAAUUUUUAGUUAUUGUACUUUUCACCUCUAGAAGUUCUUCUGUGACACUUCUUAUAGUUUCCAGUUCCUGGUUAGAAUUUGCAAACUUGUUGACUAUUUCUUUGAAAAGAGUAGCUAGAAUUGUUUUAGUCUGUGUAUAGUGAGUUGAAUAUCUGAAACCUCUGUGAGUCUGUUUCUUUUGUCUGCUAGCCCUACUCAUGGCGUCAUGUUUUCCUGGAUGUUUAGUUGGUUGUCUUUGAAUAUGUCCAACUCCAGUUAUUUCUGGGAAUACCCAAAGGCACACCUGUUCACUAUCACCCAGUGAACUGCCAUGUGUUUGUCUCCUGUCAUGGUAACAUUUGCAUUCAGGGAGAGGCCUCUGCUCUCUGCAGAACAGUGUGAAAUCACCUCAUUUUUGCCUUCAAUGAAGGUUGUCUCUUGCUGGUCACCACCACUUCCUCAAAUGACUAAUGCCACUCUUGCUCACAGUGCUAAGGCGCUAAGGAGUUUUCAGAGGGCUAGAGUGAUUCUGCAUCCUCUGGGGUUCUCAGGAAACGAGGCCACAGGGCCAUCUGUGCAUGAGUGACAGUGGGGUGGGGUGGAUGAGCAGUGGCAGUGGUGGGCACCUAUGCUGCUGGCGCCACAGCUUUUUAUAUCUUGGUGAAAACAACGCCUUGCGUUUUCACUUGUAGAUUCUCCGGCUACAUUCCACAAGAACAAAUUCUGGUCACAGAGGCCAGAGUAGACUAUCAGUGUAAUGGCCCUUCCCCUUUGAUGAUAGCAGCUUUUUUCGGGGGAGCAGGGGUGGCCAAACUUCCUAGCCUUAUUUUAUCUUCCUUUCUAGUUCUCCCCAGAGGCUGCUGGGUCCACCUCUCCCUCUGCCAGACAGACAGGCUCAGACAUGCAAGAACGGAAGGGGGUGUGGGGGUUGGUGGGAGGAUUAAGUUGGGGAAAGCCAGUCUUGUCUUUGUAGAUUACCAGAACUGACACACGUACACACACGUACACUCACUCACUCACUCACUCAUCUAUUCAUCUAUUUUUGGCCUAAGUGCCUUUGGACACUUCUUCGGAAAAGCACAUGAACUCUUCGGAGUCUCCUGUUCCACUUGGUAAAUUUCCUAUAGCCACGCACUGAAAGUCCCUGCUGCCCUCCUUCCUCUGAGCUUGUGGGGCCCACAGAUCCCCUGCUCCACUUCCUGCUUCAUUUCAGCUGAUGGUGAGUCCAGGGCAGGCUUGUAGGAAGGGCGGGCUAGGCGUGGGGAACUGCAGCACCCACCCCACCCCCCGCCCCAGUGCUUGUUGCCCCAGCCUCUGUCUCCCUCGCUGUGCCCUUCCCUUAAGCCCCACUCUUGGCCUCCCCAAAGACAGAGUUUGUUCUGUUUUUAUUGAUAGGAUGACACUCCCUCGUUCUAAUACCAUCUGAAUGCCUGAGCAAUUACAUCUUACAACCUCAUGAAAAACACAGCAGCUUGUCACGAUGAAUGAUGUUACCGUGAAUAAUGCAGUUUUGAGUUCAAACUCCUUCUUAUUCCAAGAAUGAGUAAAUAUCCCUAUUCCCUCCCCUCCCCAUUGCAUUUGGGUUUGACAUGACAUGAAUCAUUGUGGUUUUACUCCUGGGUAGAAUUGUUUUUCUGUAUUGCAUUGCCAAUUGAUGGAAGGACAAAAAAAGGAAACUUACCAAUGAGCAGUUUCAGAUGAACUUAAAUUCUCAGAAAUCUUGAAGAAUGAAUGAACUAUAACUUUCUGAAGUUGCAAAAAUGUUCAAGUCGGAAGUGACCCAUGGGAAGCAACCUGGUCCUUAAUUAGGACUGGAAAGAAAACGGAGGCCCAGCGAGGGAACAGUGGCUUCCCCAAGGUCACACUGCAAGUGAGUGGUGGCACUAGUCACCCAGGAGUCCUCCUGACUCCAUGGUAUCCUGACCCCAGACCAGCAGCCUUAUUUGUGGUUAAAGAACGUGGAAAAACAGCUUAUGUUUGAAUUUUAAAAUCAUGCCAGUACUAAAGAUCUGCAUUCCAUGAAUAUUGAGCUUUGCUGUGUGCGGGUUGCUACGAAUUUUGUAACUAUUUUCUCUAAGAGCUCUCAGUAUUUUACAUAUACAAUUCCAUUCUUUAUUGUCCAGGGAAAAAGUUGCAUUUACUGAGCAGUAAGAGGGUGAUUUGAAGUCCCUGGGGUCCCCCACCCUUGUCUUUCUAUGUGAGAUUGUAUUGCAGGGCUCACAUUUAUUCUCUCAGCAGCUCAUUGCACAGACAGUGUAUUUAUUGAGCACCUACUGUGUGCCAGGAGCUAUGUGGUAAGCUAAGCAGACAAAAACUCCUGCUCUCACAAGAAGAAAGAAUAAACAAGCAGACAAUUGCACCUAUAAUGUCAGCCUGGUGUGAUGGCUCACUCCUGGAAUCCUAGCACUUUGGGAGGUGACGAUGGGAGGAUUGCUUUAACUCGGGAGUUCAAGAUAAGCCUGGGCAACCAAGACCCUGUCUCUACAAAAAAAUCAAAAAAUUAGCUGGGGGUGAUGGCAUGAGUCUCUGGUCCCUCGGGACCAGAGGCCUCGGGAGGCUGAGGCGGGUUUAUCACUUGAGCCUGGGAGGUUGAGGCUGCAGUGAGCUGUGAUCACACCACUGCACUCCAGCCUGGGCCACAGAGCGAGACCCUGUCUCUAAAUAAACAAACAACCUAAUGUCAAGUUAGGAAGUGUGGCAAAAAGGAACAAAGUCAGGGUGACUGCCAUUCUAGAAAGGGUGGUGAGGGAAGGUCUCCUUGAGCAGAUCCUGUGGGAGUGGAAGGGUAAGUCACGAGACUCUCUGGAGGAAGAAGAUUCCAGGUGGAAAUGCCUUAGUGGGUGUUAAACGCUUUAACGGGUGUUAGCCAGAAAGCCAGAAUGGCUGGAGCUGAGGGAGUAGAGGAGGCGGCAUAGAAAAUGAGGUCAGAGAUGGAGGCAGGGCCGGAUCACAGAGGGGCACAGAGAACGAGGAGGGAAUUGGAUUUUUGGAAAAGAUUGUGGCAAAAUACAAAAUAUAAAAUACAAAAAUAAAAUAUAAACCAUAAAAUGUACUACCUUUACCAUUUUAAGUAUGCAGUUCAGUAGUGUUAAAUACAUUUACAUCAUUGUUCAACCCGUCUCCAGAACUCUCUGCAUCUUGCAAAAUUAAAACUCUAUGCCAUUUCAACAGUUCGCAUUUCCUCUUCCCUCUCGUUCAUGGCAACCGCCAUUUUUCUUUCUGUCUCUGUAAAUGUUAGUACUUGGGGUAUCUCAUCUAAGUGGAAUCACACAGUGUGUGUCCUUUUGUGACAGACUUAUUUCACUUUGCAUAAUGUCCUUAAUAUUCAUCCAUGUUGUAGCAUGUGUCAGAUUUUCCUUCCUUCUUAACAUUGUGUAAUAUUCCAUUGUACGCAUAGACUACAUUUAGCUUAUCUGUUCACCUGUGGAUGGACACUUGGGUUGCUAUAGUGAAUAAUAUUGCUGUAAAUAUGGGUAUACGAUUAUCUCUUUGUGACCCUGCUUUUAAUUGUUUUGGAUAUAUACCCAGAAAUGGAAUUACUGAAUCAUGUGGAGAUUCUGUUUUUGAUUUAUUUAUUUAUUUUUAAUUUUUGAGAUGGAGUCUCGUUCUGUCACCCAGGCUGGAGUGCAGUGACACGAUCUCUGCUCACUGCAACCUCUGCCUCCUUGCACCAUUAAUUCUGAAAAUGCAGGCCUGGAUCCAACCGCCUUUGGGGACGGGUACCUGCCCACAGGAAGAGGUUGAGGAGACAAUAAUGUCACGAGAAUCAUCAUCUUUGACUGGGAAAUGGUGUGCAGAGUUUCUGGUGCCUUCUGAAGUGAUUGUCGCAUCUCAGCCUCCCUAGUAGCUGGGAUUACAGGCAUUUGCCACCAAGCCCGGCUAAUUUUUGUAUUUUUAGUAGAGACGGGGUUUCAUCAUGUUGGCCAGGCUGGUCUCAAACUCCUGACCUCAGGUGAUCCACCUGCCUCAGCCUCCCAAAGUGCUGGGAUUAUAGGUGUGAGCCAUGCACCUGGCCUGAUUGGUUAUUUAAAUUCUGAGAUGGGGUAUACUAAUGUUUGAAAACCACAGGGAUGGGAUAGGUAUAGGUGGGGAGGGAGAGCAAAAGUGGUAUUUAGAAUAUGUUACGUUUGAAAAACCUAAUACACAUUCUACAUCCAAGUGGACAUAGAUGGAGUUAUUUGA
This 11430-nucleotide long non-coding RNA is filed under the name Homo sapiens (human). RNAcentral's name for it is "PREDICTED lncRNA (TCONS_00172839)". Lineage: Eukaryota; Metazoa; Chordata; Mammalia; Primates; Hominidae. The record is from RNAcentral.